CAGGUCUGCUUUGCCUGUGAGCUACUGUGAUAGUUUGAUUUUUAUGAUUUACAUCAAGUGUGAAGCUUUCAAAGCCAUGUGUCAAAGGUCAAGUGAGUGGCUCAGCAGUGUGUGACACUACAAAAACUACAAAAAACCGCAGUGGAGGUCAGCAGUCUCAGGAGGACCAUCUGCUGCUUUCCUUGUAGACAGAGGGACUUACCACCUUGGAUUAAUGAUUGAUGAAACAGAUGAAACCCAACCCCAUCGAAGCAAGCUGUGAACAUCUUCCAAGCUCCAUGAGAUGCCUGUGCUGCCCUACAUGUUUUAACCAGAAGAGCCAUAAGCAAACUGUGCAGUGGCCUUGGACCCUGUGGACAAACCCAAGGUGCUACAAGACCCUUCUGGUAACAGAACUCCAACGACCUCUGGACCCCACAACCACAGAAAAUACCUGUCAGAAGGAGGAGAGGAUGUCUGGGAUAUGCAGCCAUGCUGAUGAAGCUCCAGACAGCCUGGAGACAAGAGGAGACAUGGCAGUGAAGCAGGGUAUGGUUGCUGUGCUCAAGGAGCUCCAAGAGGCUCUGCAGCUAAUGCUGCCAGAGGACACAUGGUGAUAGGAAAGGAAAGCACAGUGACAGCACUCUGCAGGCCUUAUGUCAUACAUCAGUGCAGAAACGCCACCAAGAUGAGCUGUGGGCCUCAUCACACUUAGCAAAAAUGUAAAAACUGAUUUAGUAGAAUUCUUUUAUGUAGGUCUUUCUCAGCAGUCAUAUUAAUCUUGCACAAAAGCCCUAUAGAGGUAAGCAUUCCCACUAUUGACUGCUAGAAUAAAGACACUUAGAAUUUUAGUUUCCAGACUUAUGAAGUGCAAGUUUUAUUCCAAUAGUUAAAUUGUGAAAUACUCAGAAGAUUUAGGAAACUCUAACAGGAGCAAGCACUGUACAUUUUGUCCAUUUUUAGGAGAAAAUUUUUUUUCCUGUUUUUCCUAGAAUAAAGCUUUGUUUUAUACUGAUACAGACAUUGUUUCUGUGUGAUGAGGAACUUGCAUCUCUGAAUAAGGAGUGCAGAUGUCUGGGUAAAGUUUCUGAAACACCAUCAAUAGCUGUGUUAAAACCCAUGGAUUGGAAAAGUAAGCAAUUGACUGAUAAAAUUUGUUGAACUAGUGUUGUGCCUAUGAUCUUGAUGAUAUGUGGCAUAAAUUAUGCUGAAGACUAAUGUAUCCUGCAAGACAGCUGCAUUUUUUAAUGCUUCUUGGAGACUACCUGUUCAGCUUGCCUGACUGGUCUGUGUCGUGCCCUUCCCAGAAGCUGAAUAUCCCAAACUGGGGACAAAACCUGGUCACUGAAGUUCAGUAAUUGUUGAGCUGGGGUAUGAGAACCAAUCUGAUGCAUUCUGGUCUUCUCUAACCACAUUUUUCUA
Molecule: long non-coding RNA, 1401 nt
Organism: Hirundo rustica (Barn swallow)
Lineage: Eukaryota; Metazoa; Chordata; Aves; Passeriformes; Hirundinidae
Exons: 4
Source: RefSeq, a predicted model, not a curated record